This 643-nucleotide unclassified non-coding RNA is filed under the name Zea mays. RNAcentral describes it as "misc RNA Zm00001eb126180". Lineage: Eukaryota; Viridiplantae; Streptophyta; Magnoliopsida; Poales; Poaceae. The record is from RNAcentral.
AUUAAGACUUGGAGCAAGACAGAGCAGCCGAAGAAGGGAAGGAGGCCGGGUAACAUCCCCCUACACAGGGCCACUAUUGUUAAUACUAGCUAGGUUUAUUACCAUGGUGAUGAAGAAGUUACUCUCUUCCCUACCAGCGAUGGUAGCGAUCAUGCUGGCCAUCGCCAUGCUCUUUUGCUCCGUCGUCGUCGUCCACUCCUCGGAGGUCAAACAAGCAAACGAUGCAACUAGAGCUCAUCUGGAGGGAAGCCAUCAGGGCGUACCGCCACCGGCGCCGCAGGGCGGCCGUGUGCAUGCAUACGGCGAUGUCCCGCCGCCGCCACAGCUGAGCAGCCUCUCGAACAGCACCCGCACUGGAAGAACAGACCGACUGGGUGGUGACAUCAAUAGUUAUGUUACCGAUCGCCAUGUUUAGGUUUAGCCAGGUUUAGCCCCACCAUGCAUGAACCCAUGAUGUGUUUGGGCUUGGUUGGACCAAUCAUCUAUCUAUCUACACUAGUAGAGAUAUGGUUUUAAGGCUUGUUUGGAUCCUUGUGGCACAGUUUUUCAGUUAAUUUUAGUACCUUAACCUCCAAACAGGUCCGAAGGACUGCAAACUGUUUGCUCAUUAGACAUUUGACCUUGCUAAUAGGUGCUAAUAGAU